CCUACGGGUGGCAGCAGUGGGGGAUAUUGCACAAUGGGGGGAACCCUGAUGCAGCGACGCAGCGUGGGUGAAGGAGCGUUUCGGCGCGUAAAGCCCUAUCUGCAGGGAAGAAAGAGGACGGUACCUGACUAAGAAGCCCCGGCUAAAUAAGUGCCAGCAGCCGAGGUAAUACGUAGGGGGCAAGCGUUUUCCGGGUUUACUGGGUGUAAAGGGGGCGCAGACGGCAGCGCGAGGCAGGAGUGAAAGCGCGCGGCCCAACCCUGGGACUGCUGUUGGAACUGGGCGUCUUGAGUGCAGGAGGGGUAGGCGGAAUUCGUGGUGUAGCGGUGAAAUGCGUAGAUAUCAGGAGGAACACCGGUGGCGAAGGCGGCCUGCUGGACUGCGACUGACGUUGAGGCCCGAAAGUGUGGGGAGCAAACAGGAUUAGAUACCCCUGUAGUC
Molecule: ribosomal RNA, 441 nt
Filed under: uncultured bacterium
Lineage: Bacteria
Description: partial 16S ribosomal RNA
Rfam family: Bacterial small subunit ribosomal RNA
Source: RNAcentral